GCUUGGACCUGCAGCAGUGUUUCAAGUCUCUGCCCUUUCUUGUAGGUAAGUGCUAUUGUGGUUUAGUGUGGUUGUUUUAGCAUACAUUAGGCAGUGUAGGACCUGCCAGAUAUGGGGUACAUUGGCGUUGUUGGCAGGCUUAUGCAAUGUAUGAUCAUAUAAUGUGACUAAAUCCCCAUACUUUUCAUAUAUAGUGCUUAGUUAUGUCUCCUCUUGUUUUGCCUUGUAUUUCUUGUCUUAUUUUAUUUUGUCUUGUAAUCCCAGUCCAUGUACAGUCCUGUCCAGUCAUGCCUAUGUUAUGUUCUUGUUUUCCUCAUGUCUUGUGUACAUGUUCAGGAUUCUGCUUUCUGUCCUGUUCUGGGUUCUCCUAGUUUUGUCUUGUUUUCAUGCAUGGUGCCUAUCUCUAGUCUUGCCCUGUUCUCCUAGUUUUGUCUUGUUUUCAUGUAUGGUGCCUAUCUCUAGUCUUGCCCUGUUCUCCUAGUUUUGUCUUGUUUUCAUGUAUGGUGCCUAUCUCUAGUCUUGCCCUGUUCUCCUAGUUUUGUCUUGUUUUCAUGUAUGGUGCCUAUCUCUAGUCUUGCCUUGCUUCAGUACUGGAUACAUCCCUGCUGCAGAGCCUCCCUAUUCAACUCCUGGGAGGUCUGCUUAAUUCCAAACUCCUAGUUCCUGGGAUCCGCAUAAGCUGAAUCAGGGUUCUGGUAUGUGGCUGCACAAAUGCUGGUGCUCAACACCAGGGGGCGUGCGGUUAGCCUGCACCAGACCCUGCUAAUCCACCUCCACACUGUGACUCCUACUCUGAACAUCAGGCAUUCUGGGUCCCAGGCACCGGACCACCACCCUGACACUACCCUCAUCUAAUGAAGGUUGAAUCCAGGUUUAAUCCCAUCAAUAGGUAUUAAAUUACUAUUCUAAAUUUAAAAGAUAAAACAAAACACAAAUACUGUUCUCGAUAUAUCCUGAUCUCUGGCAAUUUUCAGGAAUGGAAUCCAGAAAAAUUGAUAAAACAAAAGCAAAUAGCCCUACAUGUUUCGACUAUUACGCACGG
Molecule: non-coding RNA, 1042 nt
Organism: Pelobates cultripes (western spadefoot toad)
Lineage: Eukaryota; Metazoa; Chordata; Amphibia; Anura; Pelobatidae
Source: the annotation of a GenBank genome assembly